This 935-nucleotide ribosomal RNA is filed under the name Micrococcus endophyticus. RNAcentral's name for it is "bacterial SSU rRNA". It matches the Rfam family "Bacterial small subunit ribosomal RNA", at positions 307 to 1251 of the family's 1533-position model. Lineage: Bacteria; Bacillati; Actinomycetota; Actinomycetes; Micrococcales; Micrococcaceae. The record is from RNAcentral.
GCCACCUGGGAACUUGAGACACGGCCCAGAUUCUAUGUAUGCAGCAGUGGGGAAAUUGCACAUCGGGCGAAAGGCUGAUGCAAGCGACGCCCGCCUGAGGGAUGACGACACGGUUGUAAACCUCUUCAGUAAGGAAGAAGCGAAAGUGAACGGUACUGCAGAAGAAGCACCGGGCUAACUACGUGCCAGCAGCCGCGGUAAUACGUAGGGUGCGAGCGUUAUUCCGGGAAUUAUUGGGCGUAAAGAGCUCGUAGGCGGGUUUGUCGCGUCUGUCGUGAAAGUCCCGGGGCUUAACCCCGGAUCUGCGGUGGGUACGGGCAGACUAGAGUGCAGUAGGGGAGACUGGAAUUCCUGGUGUAGCGGUGGAAUGCGCAGAUAUCAGGAGGAACACCGAUGGCGAAGGCAGGUCUCUGGGCUGUAACUGACGCUGAGGAGCGAAAGCAUGGGGAGCGAACAGGAUUAGAUACCCUGGUAGUCCAUGCCGUAAACGUUGGGCACUAGGUGUGGGGACCAUUCCACGGUUUUCGCGCCGCAGCUAACGCAUUAAGUGCCCCGCCUGGGGAGUACGGCCGCAAGGCUAAAACUCAAAGGAAUUGACGGGGGCCCGCACAAGCGGCGGAGCAUGCGGAUUAAUUCGAUGCAACGCGAAGAACCUUACCAAGGCUUGACAUGUUCUCGAUCGCCGUAGAGAUACGGUUUCCCCUUUGGGGCGGGAUCACAGGUGGUGCAUGGUUGUCGUCAGCUCGUGUCGUGAGAUGUUGGGUUAAGUCCCGCAACGAGCGCAACCCUCGUUCCAUGUUGCCAGCACGUCAUGGUGGGGACUCAUGGGAGACUGCCGGGGUCAACUCGGAGGAAGGUGGGGACGACGUCAAAUCAUCAUGCCCCUUAUGUCUUGGGCUUCACGCAUGCUACAAUGGCCGGUACAAUGGGUUGCG